CGGUGGAGUAGUGUGGUUUAAUUCGAUGCAACGCGAAGAACCUUACCUGGUCUUGACAUCCCGGAGACCCUUAGGAAACUAGGGGGUGCUUCCAUCUGGAAGAAUCUGGAGACAGGUGCUGCAUGGCUGUCGUCAGCUCGUGUCGUGAGAUGUUGGGUUAAGUCCCGCAACGAGCGCAACCCUUGCAUUCAGUUGCCAUCGGGUGAAGCCGGGCACUCUGGAAGGACUGCCAUCGACAAGAUGGAGGAAGGUGGGACGACGUCAAGUCAUCAUGGCCCUUAUGUCCAGGGCGACACACGUGCUACAAUGGCCGGCACAACGGGAAGCGAGUUCGCGAGGACGAGCGGAUCCCUUAAAGCCGGUCGCAGUUCGGAUUGAAGUCUGCAACUCGACUUCAUGAAGCUGGAAUCGCUAGUAAUCGCAGAUCAGCCAAGCUGCGGUGAAUACGUUCCCGGGCCUU
RNAcentral lists this ribosomal RNA (460 nucleotides) under uncultured Synergistaceae bacterium. RNAcentral's name for it is "bacterial SSU rRNA". It matches the Rfam family "Bacterial small subunit ribosomal RNA", at positions 930 to 1382 of the family's 1533-position model. Lineage: Bacteria; Thermotogati; Synergistota; Synergistia; Synergistales; Synergistaceae. The record is from RNAcentral.